This 131-nucleotide small nucleolar RNA is filed under the name Oryza punctata. RNAcentral's name for it is "Small nucleolar RNA snoR74". It matches the Rfam family "Small nucleolar RNA snoR74". The record is from Rfam by way of RNAcentral. Lineage: Eukaryota; Viridiplantae; Streptophyta; Magnoliopsida; Poales; Poaceae.
AAAAAAGCAGGAUGUUGUUCUCUAUGUAAGCAGUAUCCUCGUAAACUUUAGGAAUAUCAUUGUCAUUGUUAUUGGUUGAACCGGUGGACUUAAACUUGAUGUCUAUUGGUUCAGUAAACGGUGACAUAUUU